GUAACGGCGAGUGAAGCGGCAACAGCUCAAAUUUGAAAUCUGGCCCUCGGGUCCGAGUUGUAAUUUGUAGAGGAUGCUUUUGGCGCGGUGCCUUCCGAGUUCCCUGGAACGGGACGCCUUAGAGGGUGAGAGCCCCGUACGGUUGGACACCAAGCCUCUGUAAAGCUCCUUCGACGAGUCGAGUAGUUUGGGAAUGCUGCUCUAAAUGGGAGGUAAAUUUCUUCUAAAGCUAAAUAUUGGCCAGAGACCGAUAGCGCACAAGUAGAGUGAUCGAAAGAUGAAAAGCACUUUGAAAAGAGGGUUAAAUAGCACGUGAAAUUGUUGAAAGGGAAGCGUUUGCGACCAGACCUUUUCCUAGCGGAUCAACCGGUGUUCUCACCGGUGCACUUCGCUAGGUUUAGGCCAGCAUCGGUUUCUGUAGGGGGAUAAAAGCUCUGGGAACGUAGCUCCUCCGGGAGUGUUAUAGCCCUCUGCAUAAUACCCUUACGGGGACCGAGGACCGCGCUUCGGCAAGGAUGCUGGCGUAAUGGUCGUCAACGACCCGUCUUGAAACACGGACCAAGGAGUCGAACAUUUGUGCGAGUGUUUGGGUGUUAAACCCUCACGCGUAAUGAAAGUGAACGGAGGUGAGAGCCCUUACGGGUGCAUCAUCGACCGAUCCUGAUGUCUUCGGAUGGAUUUGAGUAAGAGCAUAACUGUUCGGACCCGAAAGAUGGUGAACUAUGCGUGGAUAGGGUGAAGCCAGAGGAAACUCUGGUGGAGGCUCGCAGCGGUUCUGACGUGCAAAUCGAUCGUCAAAUCUGCGC
This 806-nucleotide ribosomal RNA is filed under the name Xylaria berteroi. RNAcentral's name for it is "partial large subunit ribosomal RNA". It matches the Rfam family "Eukaryotic large subunit ribosomal RNA", at positions 83 to 916 of the family's 3401-position model. Lineage: Eukaryota; Fungi; Ascomycota; Sordariomycetes; Xylariales; Xylariaceae. The record is from RNAcentral.